GCGAGGGUGGCGGAAUAGGCAGACGCGCACGUUUGAGGGGCGUGUGGUUAACACCAUGUGGGUUCAAGUCCCAUUCCUCGCACCA
This 85-nucleotide transfer RNA is filed under the name Acetivibrio sp. MSJd-27. RNAcentral's name for it is "tRNA-Leu". It matches the Rfam family "tRNA". Rfam says of the family: Transfer RNA (tRNA) molecules are approximately 80 nucleotides in length. Their secondary structure includes four short double-helical elements and three loops (D, anti-codon, and T loops). Further hydrogen bonds mediate the characteristic L-shaped molecular structure. tRNAs have two regions of fundamental functional importance: the anti-codon, which is responsible for specific mRNA codon recognition, and the 3' end, to which the tRNAs corresponding amino acid is attached (by aminoacyl-tRNA synthetases). tRNAs cope with the degeneracy of the genetic code in two manners: having more than one tRNA (with a specific anti-codon) for a particular amino acid; and 'wobble' base-pairing, i.e. permitting non-standard base-pairing at the 3rd anti-codon position. Lineage: Bacteria; Bacillati; Bacillota; Clostridia; Acetivibrionales; Acetivibrionaceae. The record is from RNAcentral.